RNAcentral lists this ribosomal RNA (507 nucleotides) under uncultured cyanobacterium. RNAcentral's name for it is "bacterial SSU rRNA". It matches the Rfam family "Bacterial small subunit ribosomal RNA", at positions 115 to 654 of the family's 1533-position model. The record is from RNAcentral. Lineage: Bacteria; Bacillati; Cyanobacteriota.
ACGUGAGAAUCUACCCUUAGGAAGAGGAUAACAGCUGGAAACGGUUGCUAAUACUCUAUAUGCCGAGAGGUAAAAGGAUCUAUCCACCUUAGGAAGAGCUCGCGUCUGAUUAGCUUGUUGGGGAGGUAAUGGCUCACCAAGGCGACGAUCAGUAGCUGGUUUGAGAGGACGACCAGCCACACUGGGACUGAGACACGGCCCAGACUCCUACGGGAGGCAGCAGUGGGGAAUUUUCCGCAAUGGGCGAAAGCCUGACGGAGCAAUACCGCGUGAGGGAUGAAAGCCUGUGGGUUGUAAACCUCUUUUCUCAAGGAAGAAAUUUUGACGGUACUUGAGGAAUAAGCAUCGGCUAACUCUGUGCCAGCAGCCGCGGUAAUACAGAGGAUGCAAGCGUUAUCCGGAAUCACUGGGCAUAAAGCGUCUGUAGGUUGCUUAGCAAGUCUGCUGUUAAAGAUCAGGGCCUAACCCUGGGAAAGCAGUGGAAACUAGUAGGCUUGAGUGUGUAGA